AGGGCACCACCAGGAGUGGAGCCUGCGGUUUAAUUUGACUCAACACGGGAAAACUCACCCGGCCCGGACACUGGAAGGAUUGACAGAUUGAGAGCUCUUUCUUGAUUCAGUGGGUGGUGGUGCAUGGCCGUUCUUAGUUGGUGGAGUGAUUUGUCUGGUUAAUUCCGAUAACGAACGAGACUCUAGCCUACUAAAUAGAUCGUCGGCUUACAAACGCCGGCGAGACUUCUUAGAGGGACAGGCGGUGAUUCAACCGCACGAAACAGAGCAAUAACAGGUCUGUGAUACCCUUAGAUGUCCGGGGCCGCACGCGCGCUACACUGAAGUGAUCAGCGUGCUUUUUCAACCUACUCUGUCAAGAGUGGGGAACCCAAUGAACCUUCUUCGUGAUUGGGAUAGGGGAUUGUAAUUAUUCCCCUUGAACGAGGAAUUCCCAGUAAGCGCGAGUCAUAAGCUCGCGUUGAUUACGUCCCUGCCCUUUGUACACACCGCCCGUCGCUACUACCGAUUGAAUGUUUU
Molecule: ribosomal RNA, 519 nt
Filed under: uncultured eukaryote
Lineage: Eukaryota
Description: SSU rRNA
Rfam family: Eukaryotic small subunit ribosomal RNA
Source: RNAcentral